Molecule: ribosomal RNA, 241 nt
Filed under: uncultured Actinomycetales bacterium
Lineage: Bacteria; Bacillati; Actinomycetota; Actinomycetes; Actinomycetales
Description: partial 16S ribosomal RNA
Rfam family: Bacterial small subunit ribosomal RNA
Source: RNAcentral
ACUCGAGUGGCGAACGGGUGAGUAACACGUGGGUGAUCUGCCCUGCACUUCGGGAUAAGCUUGGGAAACUGGGUCUAAUACCGGAUAGGAGCCAUCUUUAGUGUGGUAGUUGGAAAGUUUUUCGGUGUAGGAUGAGCUCGCGGCCUAUCAGCUUGUUGGUGGGGUAAUGGCCUACCAAGGCGGCGACGGGUAGCCGGCCUGAGAGGGUGUACGGCCACAUUGGGACUGAGAUACGGCCCAG